GCCACCGCGGGGAGCCCAGGGUAUAGCAGUUGCCUGGAAACAGGCUGCUCUCGCGGCCCACACUCAGACCUUUGUCACCAUCUCAAGGACCUUUUUUUCCCUCUUCCUCCUUUCACGAUGGAGCCAGACCCUGCACGCAGCAGACACGGACUGAGGACUUCAUGUAUUCCAGAUUCUCCCCACAGCAACUGGAAGAAGUAGCUGACGUUGCUCUCCCCAUUUUACAGAUGUGAGAAUGGAAGAAGUUAAGAUGGAUCCAAGCCAGUUGAUGAGGAAACUGAGGCUCAGAGAGGGGAAGUAACUUACCCAAGACUGCACAGCAGUAAGCGGCAGAACCUGGACCCAGCCCCUGGCUCCAGACCCCCACUGCUCUGCUGACCUGCAGGGGCCUCGAAUCAACAUAAAGCCUUUCACCCCUAGCCUGCUCCUGUCUCAACCUCAACCUCCAGAGAACAUCCAUCCUCCAUGGAGCCUCCCAGCCUGAGCCCUCUGAGCUGCCUCCCUUCUUCUCUCCCCUCAGCCCAGGCUUCCCUAUCACCCCACAGAGAGCCUCGGAGCCACCCUUGGGAGCUUCACAGCUGCCUGGCUUUGGGAUCUUUGCUCUGAGAGACCCCAAGAUGGAGCAGCAGCCCCUAUGCUGUGGCCCACCGGGCAGGCUUGGUUUUAUGCCAUCUUCCCAGCUACCCCUUGGGGUACGGGUUUUAUCACCCCCUUAUACAGAAGGGGUCAGGGAUCAAAGCAGGCAAGCCAUUUGCCCAGAACCACACAGCUGUUGCCAGAGUUGGGAUCCAAAUGCAGGACUGUCCUUGGCCAUACCGCCUUCUGGAUGUCCCUACAGUGGCUCUGCCCAGUCAAGAGCCCCUGUUGCCCGGGGAGACCCCUCUUCACAUCCUCAUGACAAUGACAAUCCCACGAGUUAAACAUUUCACAUGGAUUCUUGCCUUUAGUUUUUCCCAACAACCUGCAGGGGAGGGGCAAUCAUCACACCCAUUUUACAGACGAAGAAACUGAGGCACCCAGUGGU
RNAcentral lists this long non-coding RNA (1024 nucleotides) under Homo sapiens (human). RNAcentral's name for it is "HSALNT0400716". The record is from RNAcentral. Lineage: Eukaryota; Metazoa; Chordata; Mammalia; Primates; Hominidae.